UUAAAAUAUAAAAAGCUGUUUCCCCCAAAAGUUGUAUGUGUCCUCCUAGAAACAAAUUAAUAGGAGCAAAUAGUAGUGUUCUUGGAAAUCCCUUGGAUAAAUAAUUUGGCACACACUGUUCCCUUUAGCCCCACCUCACCUGGGGCUACACCUUUGUUCCUCUCUUGAAUCAGCUCUGCUGAAGUCCUAUCUUAUUCUCUGCUCGCUGGUUGCUUUUCUGUCCCUCUACUCCACCUCCCAUAUCCUCAGCUCCUGUGGAUCUUUCUUUCCACAUAAUUCCUUGGCCACUCCUAUCCAUACCCCUUAGAAAGCGAACCCCACAGGGCUGGGAACUGAUUUUUCUUCACUGUCAUUGUGUCCUCAGCAUGCUGCCUGGGUCAUAGUAGUUGCACAAUAAAUAUUUGUUGGAUGAAUGACUGCAUGGGUCACCAGCUACUAAACACACCCUGGCUGGCAUUGUUCAUCUGAGGAAGCUGAGGAACAAAGAGCCACAUCGGCAGGUCUCUCUGAAGCCUUAUGGGUGCGCGUGGGGACAUCUAGGCUGCCCCGGGGAUGCAGGAAAGGCACAAGACCGUGUGAAGGUAAGGCAGGCUGUCAGUCAAGAGCCUGCCCUCCCUCUCCUAUAUCCAGAGCUGUUAUUCUGUUAAAUGUUUUACAUACUGAGUUUCUGCAAAAUAUUUUUUUGUCUCGCUAGAAGAAAAGGCAAGCAAACAAGCAAAAAGGUAUUUUAGUUUUACAGCUAGGAAGACUAAGACUUCAGGGACGUUAAAUCCGUUGGCAAUUGUCAUCGGUGGCUAAGCCAGUUCUGAAAACCUCAGCCCCAAAGAGCCAGGAAUCUAUUUCCUGUGUCAUGUUUCUCGGGUGCCCAGGUGUCUCCAUAGUGGCACUUGAGUUUGGUAUAUUCACUGACCAUGACUUUUUGUCCAGAACUUUCGUUUUCAGAUGUACGUCCUGAGCAAUACUGAGUAAAAUAAGGUCAGUUACAAGGUAAAUUUAGAAAUAUUUGUCUCAGGGAGUUGUUAGAGGAAAACAGGAAGGACACAGCAAAGCUGGACAAGGCAGGAAGUGGAAAGAGUGCUCAGGGCAUUUGGAAAAGACCAGGGCGUGUGUGUGGAGGUGUGCGUGGGUGAGUGAGAGCAGGUUUCUGACCCUGGAAUAAGAAGUAACAACAUGCCAUAACAGUAACAUUUUUUUUUUUUUGAAUGCCUAACAUGUGACGUGUUCACAAAGCAAAAUGCUUCACGUGCAUCACUUGUAGCAGUGAGGUCAGUCAGUCAGUCAUUCAGCUCUCCUCGUCUCCUUGAAGAGGAAGGGAAGCUUAUAGAGCUGGUCAGCGCAGAGAGGAACUCAACCAAGGACUGUCUGGCGUCAGAGUGCAUGCUCUGAACCCCUCAGCUACACUGUCAACGUGUCCAGAGUCAGAGGACUCAGGCGUUUUUGUACCCAGGGGCAUCUCUUAGGACUGGGUCUGGCGCAGAGUUAGGGCCCCUGACCCCGAUUCAGGGACACGAUGAAAAGCUUGAAUUCGAUCUACCUUUAGGGCAAGCUGGGCCAGUUUAGGAAGAUUCAUCCGCCUGGUACUCGGAUGCCUGAGAUUCUGUGACUUGGUACUUGGUUUCCUGGGGAUUCUGUGACCAAGCCUUCCAUUCCCCAGUUACAGAUAAAAUACAGAGAUUCUUGGUGGCUGCGUUUUAGUAAGCCAGCAGGUUGGAAACUAUGGCCAAAAGCAACCCUUGCAUUUGUUAUAUAGCCUUUUAAGAUUUUCAAAGUAUUUCCCCUCUGUGUUUUUUCAAGAUCAUUAGAACAGAUGGUACAACCCCCAUUUGACAGAAUAGAUCAGAACAUAGGAAACAUAUACUGAGAGUGACA
Camelus dromedarius (Arabian camel) is the source of this 1869-nucleotide long non-coding RNA. The record is from Ensembl. NCBI's taxonomy places the organism in Eukaryota, Metazoa, Chordata, Mammalia, Artiodactyla, Camelidae.